UACGUAGGAUGCAAGCGUUGUCCGGAAUUAUUGGGCGUAAAGAGCGCGCAGGCGGUAUGACAAGUCAGAUGUGAAAGAGGCCGGCUUAACCGGCAAGGGUCAUUUGAAACUGUCAGACUAGAGUGCGGCAGAGGAUAGUGGAAUUCCCGGUGUAGUGGUGAAAUGCGUAGAUAUCGGGAGGAACACCAGUGGCGAAGGCGACUAUCUGGGCUGCAACUGACGCUGAGGCGCGAAGGCUAGGGUAGCAAACAGG
This 253-nucleotide ribosomal RNA is filed under the name uncultured bacterium. Its description in RNAcentral is "partial 16S ribosomal RNA". It matches the Rfam family "Bacterial small subunit ribosomal RNA", at positions 524 to 776 of the family's 1533-position model. The record is from RNAcentral.